Molecule: ribosomal RNA, 253 nt
Filed under: uncultured bacterium
Lineage: Bacteria
Description: partial 16S ribosomal RNA
Rfam family: Bacterial small subunit ribosomal RNA
Source: RNAcentral
AACGUAGGAGGCAAGCGUUAUCCGGAUUCACUGGGCGUAAAGCGCGUGCAGGCGGUGCGGUAAGUUGGGCGUGAAAUCUCCCGGCUCAACUGGGAUAGGUCGUCCAAUACUACCGUACUUGAGAGCAGAAGAGGAAAAUGGAAUUCCCGGUGUAGUGGUGAAAUGCGUAGAUAUCGGGAGGAACACCAGUGGCGAAGGCGAUUUUCUGGUCUGUUUCUGACGCUCAGACGCGACAGCUAGGGUAGUAAACGGG